This 497-nucleotide ribosomal RNA is filed under the name uncultured bacterium. Its description in RNAcentral is "partial 16S ribosomal RNA". It matches the Rfam family "Bacterial small subunit ribosomal RNA", at positions 28 to 507 of the family's 1533-position model. The record is from RNAcentral.
GAUGAACGCUGGCGGCGUGCCUAAUACAUGCAAGUCGAGCGAACAGAUGAGGAGCUUGCUCCUCUGACGUUAGCGGCGGACGGGUGAGUAACACGUGGAUAACCUACCUAUAAGACUGGGAUAACUUCGGGAAACCGGAGCUAAUACCGGAUAAUAUAUUGAACCGCAUGGUUCAAUAGUGAAAGACGGUUUUGCUGUCACUUAUAGAUGGAUCCGCGCCGCAUUAGCUAGUUGGUAAGGUAACGGCUUACCAAGGCAACGAUGCGUAGCCGACCUGAGAGGGUGAUCGGCCACACUGGAACUGCGACACGGUCCAGACUCCUACGGGAGGCAGCAGUAGGGAAUCCUCCGCAAUGGGCGAAAGCCUGACGGAGCAACGCCGCGUGAGUGAUGAAGGUCUUCGGAUCGUAAAACUCUGUUAUUAGGGAAGAACAAAUGUGUAAGUAACUAUGCACGUCUUGACGGUACCUAAUCAGAAAGCCACGGCUAACUACGUG